UACGUAGGGGGCAAGCGUUGUCCGGAUUUAUUGGACGUAAAGAGCGUGUAGGCGGUUUGGUAGGUCCGCUGUGAAAACUCGAGGCUCAACCUCGAGACGCCGGUGGAAACCAUCAGACUAGAGUCCGGAAGAGGAGAGUGGAAUUCCUGGUGUAGCGGUGAAAUGCGCAGAUAUCAGGAGGAACACCGGUGGCGAAGGCGGGUCUCUGGGCCGUUACUGACGCUGAGGAGCGAAAGCGUGGGGAGCGAACAGG
Molecule: ribosomal RNA, 253 nt
Filed under: uncultured bacterium
Lineage: Bacteria
Description: partial 16S ribosomal RNA
Rfam family: Bacterial small subunit ribosomal RNA
Source: RNAcentral